ACGAACGCUGGCGGCGUGCUUAACACAUGCAAGUCGAACGGAAAGGCCCUGCUUGCAGGGUCCUCGAGUGGCGAACGGGUGAGUAACACGUGGGUGAUCUGCCCUGCACUUCGGGAUAAGCCUGGGAAACUGGGUCUAAUACCGGAUAGGAGCCAUUUUUAGUGUGAUGGUUGGAAAGUUUUUUCGGUGUAGGAUGAGCUCGCGGCCUAUCAGCUUGUUGGUGGGGUAAUGGCCUACCAAGGCGGCGACGGGUAGCCGGCCUGAGAGGGUGGACGGCCACAUUGGGACUGAGAUACGGCCCAGACUCCUACGGGAGGCAGCAGUGGGGAAUAUUGCACAAUGGGCGCAAGCCUGAUGCAGCGACGCCGCGUGGGGGAUGACGGCCUUCGGGUUGUAAACUCCUUUCGCUAGGGACGAAGCUUUUUGUGACGGUACCGAGAUAAGAAGCACCGGCUAACUACGU
This 463-nucleotide ribosomal RNA is filed under the name uncultured bacterium. RNAcentral's name for it is "partial 16S ribosomal RNA". It matches the Rfam family "Bacterial small subunit ribosomal RNA", at positions 29 to 506 of the family's 1533-position model. The record is from RNAcentral.